ACUGGGCAGGUUGGGUUGAAUGA
Molecule: microRNA, 23 nt
Filed under: Mus musculus (house mouse)
Lineage: Eukaryota; Metazoa; Chordata; Mammalia; Rodentia; Muridae
Description: mmu-miR-6905-5p
Source: miRBase by way of RNAcentral